GUGCUCACUUCAACAGCACAUAUACUAAAAUUGGAAUGAUACAGAGAAGAUGAGCAUGGCUUCUGCGCAAGGAUGACACGCAGAUUCGUGAUGGAGAAGAGGGUGAG
Ochotona curzoniae (black-lipped pika) is the source of this 107-nucleotide small nuclear RNA. Lineage: Eukaryota; Metazoa; Chordata; Mammalia; Lagomorpha; Ochotonidae. The record is from RefSeq and is a predicted model, not a curated record.